CCCACCUGACCCCAUGCCGAACUCAGAAGUGAAACGCCGUAGCGCCGAUGGUAGUGUGGGGUCUCCCCAUGCGAGAGUAGGGAACUGCCAGGCA
RNAcentral lists this ribosomal RNA (94 nucleotides) under Escherichia coli. RNAcentral also lists the same sequence under 8 other names. The record is from RNAcentral. Lineage: Bacteria; Pseudomonadati; Pseudomonadota; Gammaproteobacteria; Enterobacterales; Enterobacteriaceae.